RNAcentral lists this ribosomal RNA (824 nucleotides) under Pseudocercospora lygodiicola. RNAcentral's name for it is "eukaryotic LSU rRNA". It matches the Rfam family "Eukaryotic large subunit ribosomal RNA", at positions 76 to 932 of the family's 3401-position model. The record is from RNAcentral. Lineage: Eukaryota; Fungi; Ascomycota; Dothideomycetes; Mycosphaerellales; Mycosphaerellaceae.
UGCCCUAGUAACGGCGAGUGAAGCGGCAACAGCUCAAAUUUGAAAUCUGGCGCAAGCCCGAGUUGUAAUUUGUAGAGGAUGCUUCUGGGUAGCGGCCGGUCUAAGUUCCUUGGAACAGGACGUCAUAGAGGGUGAGAAUCCCGUAUGUGACUGGCUUGCACCCUCCACGUAGCUCCUUCGACGAGUCGAGUUGUUUGGGAAUGCAGCUCUAAAUGGGAGGUAAAUUUCUUCUAAAGCUAAAUACCGGCCAGAGACCGAUAGCGCACAAGUAGAGUGAUCGAAAGAUGAAAAGCACUUUGGAAAGAGAGUUAAAAAGCACGUGAAAUUGUUGAAAGGGAAGCGCCCGCAACCAGACUUUGCGGCAGUGUUCGGCCGGUCUUCUGACCGGUUUACUCGCUGUCGUGAGGCCAUCAUCGUCUGGGACCGCUGGAUAAGACCUUAGGAAUGUGGCUCCCCUCGGGGAGUGUUAUAGCCUCUGGUGAUGCAGCGCGUCUCGGGCGAGGUCCGCGCUUCGGCAAGGAUGAUGGCGUAAUGGUUGUCGGCGGCCCGUCUUGAAACACGGACCAAGGAGUCUAACAUCUAUGCGAGUGUUCGGGUGUCAAACCCCUACGCGUAAUGAAAGUGAACGGAGGUGGGAACUUUUUGUGCACCAUCGACCGAUCCUGAUGUCCUCGGAUGGAUUUGAGUAAGAGCAUAGCUGUUGGGACCCGAAAGAUGGUGAACUAUGCCUGAAUAGGGUGAAGCCAGAGGAAACUCUGGUGGAGGCUCGCAGCGGUUCUGACGUGCAAAUCGAUCGUCAAAUUUGGGUAUAGGGGCGAAAGACU